This 411-nucleotide ribosomal RNA is filed under the name uncultured bacterium. RNAcentral's name for it is "bacterial SSU rRNA". It matches the Rfam family "Bacterial small subunit ribosomal RNA", at positions 508 to 921 of the family's 1533-position model. The record is from RNAcentral.
UCAGCAGCCGCGGUAAUACGUAGGGGGUUAGCGUUGUCCGGAUUUACUGGGUGUAAAGGGCGCGUAGGCGGGUUUGUAAGUCAGUGGUGAAAUCCUGCAGCUUAACUGCAGAACUGCCUUUGAUACUGCAAAUCUUGAGUUCAGAAGAGAGAGAUGGAAUUCCAGGUGUAGUGGUGAAAUACGUAGAUAUCUGGAAGAACACCAGUGGCGAAGGCGAUCUCUUGGUCUGUAACUGACGCUGAGGCGCGAAAGCGUGGGUAGCAAACAGGAUUAGAUACCCUGGUAGUCCACGCUGUAAACGAUGAAUACUAGAUGUUGGGUAGAAAUGCUCAGUGUCGCAGCUAACGCAUUAAGUAUUCCACCUGGGGAGUACGAUCGCAAGGUUGAAACUCAAAGGAAUUGGCGGGGGAU